This 401-nucleotide ribosomal RNA is filed under the name uncultured bacterium. RNAcentral describes it as "bacterial SSU rRNA". It matches the Rfam family "Bacterial small subunit ribosomal RNA", at positions 30 to 429 of the family's 1533-position model. The record is from RNAcentral.
AUUGAACGCUGGCGGCAUGCCUUACACAUGCAAGUCGAACGGCAGCAUGGAGAGCUUGCUCUCUGAUGGCGAGUGGCGAACGGGUGAGUAAGGCAUCGGAACGUACCGUGUAGUGGGGGAUAACGUAGCGAAAGUUACGCUAAUACCGCAUACGCACUGAGGUGGAAAGCAGGGGAUCGCAAGACCUUGCGCUAUACGAGCGGCCGAUGUCAGAUUAGCUAGUUGGUAGGGUAAAGGCCUACCAAGGCGACGAUCUGUAGCGGGUCUGAGAGGAUGAUCCGCCACACUGGGACUGAGACACGGCCCAGACUCCUACGGGAGGCAGCAGUGGGGAAUUUUGGACAAUGGGCGCAAGCCUGAUCCAGCAAUGCCGCGUGAGUGAAGAAGGCCUCGGUUGUAAG